GAUGAACGCUGGCGGCGUGCCUAAUACAUGCGAGUCGAGCGAACGGACGAGAAGCUUGCUUCUCUGAUGUUAGCGGCGGACGGGUGAGUAACACGUGGAUAACCUACCUAUAAGACUGGGAUAACUUCGGGAAACCGGAGCUAAUACCGGAUGAUCUUUUGAACCGCAUGGUUCAAAAGUGAAAGACGGUCUUGCUGUCUCUUAUAGCUGGAUCCGCGCUGUAUUAGCUAGUUGGUAAGGUAAUGGCUUACCAAGGCUACGAUGCGUAGCCGACCUGAGAGGGUGACCGGCGACACUGGGCCUGAGGGACGGCCCAGACUGGUACGUGACGCAGCAGGGGGGAAUCUUGCACAAUGAGCGGAGGCCGGGUGAAGAAGCGCUGCGUGCGGGAAAACGGCCUUCGGGGUGUAAACCGCUUUGGCCUGUAACGGAGCGUGAGUGACGGUAAUGGGUAAAGAAGCCCCGGCUAACUACGUG
This 477-nucleotide ribosomal RNA is filed under the name uncultured bacterium. Its description in RNAcentral is "partial 16S ribosomal RNA". It matches the Rfam family "Bacterial small subunit ribosomal RNA", at positions 28 to 507 of the family's 1533-position model. The record is from RNAcentral.